Cyprinus carpio (common carp) is the source of this 1179-nucleotide long non-coding RNA. NCBI's taxonomy places the organism in Eukaryota, Metazoa, Chordata, Actinopteri, Cypriniformes, Cyprinidae. The record is from Ensembl.
AUGCCUCAUUGUCUGUUUGAGCUCUUCUAUUGGCUCCAAACUGUGAGAAACUCCAACAAGCUCAAGCCUCACACAUUCAUAUGGAGAUUUGGGAGUAUAAAUAGAGGAGCUGCAGCCAGUGCAAAUCAGACUCACUCUGAACAGAGAGAUCUACAGCACAGAGAUCCAGACAUGACACCUACAAUCAUCUCAAAGGAGCAGCUCCCUCUCAACAACAAGCUGAGAAAGCAAGGCCCAGGGUGGAGAAGAUGCACAGAGAUCGUAUCAACAGCAGCAUCGAGCAGCUCAAGUGUCUUCUGGCUCCAGAGUUCCUCAAACAGCAGCCUGAUUCCAAGCUGGAGAAAGAAGAUAUCCUGGAGAUGAUGCUCAACUUCCUGCAGUUCACAUGCUGUCCAAAGAUGAGAUGAAGACAGAGAGCCAGAGAAGACUGAUGANGCCUUAAAGAAUCAGACUGGACGUUUGCACUAGACUCAGUGGACUAUUAUGCAUUCAGUUUCUCUUUUUGAGAAAAGGUGUUUCAUGAGUUCCAGUUUGGAAGAUAUUUGUACUGUUAAGUGCUCUGAUGAUUCAAACUUCUAUGAAGAGUUCAUGUCAAGAGUUCCAGAUUGGAACAUUUACUGAUGUCUAUAUUAGACACUGAGUGCAAGAUACAUCUGCAUGUGAUGUGAAAGAAACACUGUCUUUAUUAUUUUAAAGGCCAUUUAUUAUCUGAUAACUACUCAGAUACUAAUGCUUUAUUGUAAAAGCUGAAAAAAAGUGAAAUUCUUGAUUUUAAUAUGAUGGCAAGAAUCUUGCUCCAUUAUUAGUUCUGGGCUUAUAUUUGAUUUCAUCUGAGAUGAUAAUCAUUCAUAAAGUAUUAUUCAUAUUUGAUGUUUUUCUCUAUGGUCUAAAAUAGAUCAUAUUCACAUUUACCCAGUUUUUAGGGUUUGUAAACAUUUGUUGGUUCUCAACGUUCUCCGAAUCUUUUCCUGUACUGUAUACAGCUGUCAUUGUUCCUUCUGUGAAGGUUUAUAUUCUCAUGAUAAACUUUGCCAUCUUGUCAUUUAUAUUUUUAAUAGAUCAUGUGAUCAUUUGUGUCCUUCUGUGAAGGUGACUGAAGUUUUAAAAGACUAAAGCAGUUCAGUGAAUGUAUUUCUGCUGCAAAAUAAAACAAUCAACUGAACGUCUGACUGUGAUUAU